Molecule: ribosomal RNA, 397 nt
Filed under: uncultured bacterium
Lineage: Bacteria
Description: bacterial SSU rRNA
Rfam family: Bacterial small subunit ribosomal RNA
Source: RNAcentral
UAAUACGUAGGGUGCGAGCGUUAAUCGGAAUUACUGGGCGUAAAGGGUGCGCAGGCGGCUCCGCGUGUCAGGCGUGAAAUCCCCGGGCUUAACUUGGGAAUGGCGCUUGAAACUACGGGGCUGGAGUGUGGCAGAGGGAGGUGGAAUUCCACGUGUAGCGGUGAAAUGCGUAGAGAUGUGGAGGAACACCGAUGGCGAAGGCAGCCUCCUGGGCCAACACUGACGCUCAUGCACGAAAGCGUGGGGAGCAAACAGGAUUAGAUACCCUGGUAGUCCACGCCCUAAACGAUGUCGACUAGUUGUUGGGGGAGUUAAAUCCCUUAGUAACGCAGCUAACGCGUGAAGUCGACCGCCUGGGGAGUACGGUCGCAAGAUUAAAACUUAAAUGAAUUGACGG